Ciona savignyi (Pacific transparent sea squirt) is the source of this 83-nucleotide non-coding RNA. The record is from Rfam. NCBI's taxonomy places the organism in Eukaryota, Metazoa, Chordata, Ascidiacea, Phlebobranchia, Cionidae.
GGCAGGAUGGCCGAGUGGUCUAAGGCGCUACGUUCAGGUCGCAGUCUCCUCUGGAGGCGCGGGUUCGAAUCCCGCUCCUGUCA